AAGCCUUCCAGGCUUUGAGCAGCCCUACAGAAGUUAUCCCUGAUAUUAUUACCCUAAGAAGCAGUAUUGAGAUGGGAAGGCAAUCUGAAGUCUGUUGGCCAAGAAAUUUGGGAAUAGAAGGGUAUGAUGGGGUGUAUAUGGCUCCUGUAAGAAAGAUAGAAUGAGCACUCUGAGGAGGGGUUGCCCACUGAGUACAGAGAACACCCUAGUGGAGGUGCCAAAUUACAACCAGGAUGGAUGGUAGCGUGUCUAAGGAGCCCUCCACCCCAGCCUAGACCAUUGUUGAUUUGGCAUGGACAAGCUGUCAAGAUGAAGGGUACCACCUAAUAACUGGUAAGAAACUGUUGCACACUGGAAUGU
This 360-nucleotide long non-coding RNA is filed under the name Phascolarctos cinereus (koala). RNAcentral describes it as "lncRNA (ENSPCIG00000001550.2)". The record is from RNAcentral. Lineage: Eukaryota; Metazoa; Chordata; Mammalia; Diprotodontia; Phascolarctidae.